Molecule: non-coding RNA, 764 nt
Organism: Anolis sagrei ordinatus
Lineage: Eukaryota; Metazoa; Chordata; Lepidosauria; Squamata; Anolidae
Source: RefSeq, a predicted model, not a curated record
CCUUUAAGCAUGCAUACACACACACACUUUGCCCCCUUCUCCCUUCCUUUCUUGUUUGGAGGCCUUUUAAAAGUCCCCCCUGUGUUGACACGGAUGACAGUGAAAGGUUUCUCGGGCUGCCCCCUUUCCAAAGUUGGGGACCUUCAGGACUGAGAUGCGGAGCUACAUGACGAGCAAGGAUCACCUCCCUUUUAAACCUUGCUUACUGAUAAAAGACAUUUCUUCUGAAGCAACAACUCUUGAGUGGGAAAUGUUUGGGACUGGAUGAGUCCCUGGAACCAGAAAAUCUACCUGAAUGUAUUUAGCCUGUUGUUGUUGUUGCAAGCACCAUUAUCAAUAGGGUAUACUUCGACACAUACACAGUGUCUGUGUUUUACUGGUCGACUUAAAACUCCUCUGCCUCCCCCCUCGGCUCCUGUGCAAUGUCUGCUGUCUCCCAAUAGCUUUGCCCAACUUUGGAAACUUCACCAGGGGAUGUUCAGUUUAGAGAACUUUAUGGGUGACUUGGAUGGGCUCCUCUUCUUUAUUUCUUUUUUUUAUGGCACGGAAAUGUUCCCCACAAUGGUGGCCCUCCUUCCUUUUGACAUUCAAGGGAGCUGACGUCACACCCACCGAGUUGUCAUGGAGAACGGCAACCGGCUUAAAAUUAUAAAGCGUGAUAUUAUGGCGCAACAUAAAAUAGGGAUAUAAGCAAAGACGCACGCCCGCCCCGCCAGCCGAUUAAACAAAGAAGAAUACGAUUUUAAUACGUUCGGGAAGAAUAA